Molecule: transfer RNA, 74 nt
Filed under: Myotis brandtii (Brandt's bat)
Lineage: Eukaryota; Metazoa; Chordata; Mammalia; Chiroptera; Vespertilionidae
Rfam family: tRNA
About the family: Transfer RNA (tRNA) molecules are approximately 80 nucleotides in length. Their secondary structure includes four short double-helical elements and three loops (D, anti-codon, and T loops). Further hydrogen bonds mediate the characteristic L-shaped molecular structure. tRNAs have two regions of fundamental functional importance: the anti-codon, which is responsible for specific mRNA codon recognition, and the 3' end, to which the tRNAs corresponding amino acid is attached (by aminoacyl-tRNA synthetases). tRNAs cope with the degeneracy of the genetic code in two manners: having more than one tRNA (with a specific anti-codon) for a particular amino acid; and 'wobble' base-pairing, i.e. permitting non-standard base-pairing at the 3rd anti-codon position.
Source: Rfam by way of RNAcentral
GCUGGUGUAGCUCAGUGGUUAGAGCAUUGGCCUGAGAACUGAAAUGUUGCAGGUUCAAUUCCCAGUCAAGAGCA